Molecule: long non-coding RNA, 841 nt
Filed under: Sorghum bicolor (sorghum)
Lineage: Eukaryota; Viridiplantae; Streptophyta; Magnoliopsida; Poales; Poaceae
Description: long non-coding RNA (SBIC_LNC009324)
Source: RNAcentral
UUGCUGAGGCAGCCUUCUUUGGAGGUGGGACCGAUGACUUCGGUCGUUCUUGGGCGGACUACUUCUGACUACCUCACUUUGGAGGCGAGGGGACCGACCGUGUACUCUUUGUAGAGAGCGGUGUAGGCGGUGGAGGUGGUGGGGCCGAUCUUUUCGGUGUUGGAGAAUGCGGUGGAGGAGUUGGAGACCUCGGUGGAGCAGGUGGAAACCGUGGUGGAGGCGGUGGCGGGGUCAGUGUGGCCGCCGCAGGUGUUGGAGGUGAUCCAGCAUUGUCACCGCCCGCAGCACUAUGAUGCGCUGGGGAAAGAACUGGACUUAGGUUGGAAGAGUCCCUGCAAAGAAAACAAUUACAAGUUUUGUGAGCAAACUUUUUUAAAUUCAAUACAUAAUAAAUAAUAUAAGAAGUAAAAUCACGCACAAACCUAUGGUGAGGAAUUGUAAUACCCGAUUUUAAGGACAAAACCAGAUAUGCACCAUAUGUGAGUCAUAGAAGUCAAAUCUCACAUAUAGCUACAAAUAAGGGGUAAUAUCAAAAGACAAUGCAUAAAUAUAUAACGUACUUAGUAUAAAAGAGAUAACCUGAUAGCAAACAGCGGAUAGACAACUCCAAACUUCGGGUAUUAACUUCUCUCUACAGGAUCCAACUGACUGGUUGAUCAUAAGCCUAAACUUCUCCUGAGGUUUGGGGGAAAUAGCAAGAGUGAGUCCAUGUCGAACUCCACAAGUAUAGCAACUAGAUUGUACAGCUCCCACAAUCUCAUGAUCAAUGUGGCAUAAAUAAUGUAGAGUAUUAAACAAUAAACAAUGAGCAUAUUUAACACACAAGAUUCAUCACCCUUAA